GGGUUGUGAGGUUAAGCGACUAAGCGUACACGGUGGAUGCCCUGGCAGUCAGAGGCGAUGAAGGACGUGCUAAUCUGCGAUAAGCGCCGGUAAGGUGAUAUGAACCGUUAUAACCGGCGAUUUCCGAAUGGGGAAACCCAGUGUGAUUCGUCACACUAUCAUUAACUGAAUCCAUAGGUUAAUGAGGCGAACCGGGGGAACUGAAACAUCUAAGUACCCCGAGGAAAAGAAAUCAACCGAGAUUCCCCCAGUAGCGGCGAGCGAACGGGGAGGAGCCCAGAGCCUGAAUCAGCAUGUGUGUUAGUGGAAGCGUCUGGAAAGGCGCGCGAUACAGGGUGACAGCCCCGUACACAAAAGCGCAUGUGCUGUGAGCUCGAUGAGUAGGGCGGGACACGUGGUAUCCUGUCUGAAUAUGGGGGGACCAUCCUCCAAGGCUAAAUACUCCUGACUGACCGAUAGUGAACCAGUACCGUGAGGGAAAGGCGAAAAGAACCCCGGCGAGGGGAGUGAAAAAGAACCUGAAACCGUGUACGUACAAGCAGUGGGAGCACAGGUUUACCUGUGUGACUGCGUACCUUUUGUAUAAUGGGUCAGCGACUUAUAUUCUGUAGCAAGGUUAAC
RNAcentral lists this ribosomal RNA (621 nucleotides) under Salmonella enterica subsp. enterica serovar Paratyphi A. Its description in RNAcentral is "partial 23S ribosomal RNA". It matches the Rfam family "Bacterial large subunit ribosomal RNA", at positions 1 to 650 of the family's 2925-position model. Lineage: Bacteria; Pseudomonadati; Pseudomonadota; Gammaproteobacteria; Enterobacterales; Enterobacteriaceae. RNAcentral also lists the same sequence under 1 other name. The record is from RNAcentral.